UGGCCAACCCUCCUAUUGCUGCUCCUUGUUCUUAUACCGAUUCGAUCUGUGCUGCAGCUUGGCUUUGGAAAAGCUAGAUGAAAAUAAGGAGAGAAGGGAGGGAGGAGGUCGUGGUCUCCUUGAGUGGAGAUAUGUAUUGUGUCUUGACCGGUCAAGAAACACCUGUCAAUAUACAUCGGCACCACAUGGGCUACGACUGCUAUCGAAUCCUUGAAGCCAAAGCUAAAGAGAAUGCUCCAUCACCAGCUUUCCCCUUGCAAGCCGACCUAUGUGUCCAGCUGAGUUGAAGAUAAUGCAAAAAUUUGAAGGUGACUGAAAAAUCUGAAGACAGGGUGUGGAGAGGAAUUGCGUUCAGAAAAUUUAUAACUAAAACCGCUCGCUUAGCUAUAUCGUCAAAUGCAGAAUAAUUACAAGCUGAUCUAAUUGAUGAUUUUUAUCGUUUCGGGUUUGGGAAAGGUAAAUAUGUUGGAUUUAAGCAUAAAUAAAUUUUCUUACUUAGAAAACCUUGGAUUUAUCAUAUUUUUAAGAUGAAGGAAAUCAUCAUUGACAAGUUUUAUAUAUCAGCAUUGGUGGUAGCUUAAACCCUGUACAACAUUGUUUAGAAUAAUAUCAGUUCAGUUAUGGUAAUUAGAUCAAAUAUGAUUGUGUGCCGUCGCAACAUGAUACUUGCUAUUGGGAGUAUGAUUUUCCAUGCCACCUUGCAACUUCUGUAAGUUUUCUCUUAAAUUGAUAGUCUUUUAUGUUUAUG
Molecule: long non-coding RNA, 748 nt
Organism: Zea mays
Lineage: Eukaryota; Viridiplantae; Streptophyta; Magnoliopsida; Poales; Poaceae
Exons: 3
Source: RefSeq, a predicted model, not a curated record